Molecule: ribosomal RNA, 465 nt
Filed under: Vreelandella stevensii
Lineage: Bacteria; Pseudomonadati; Pseudomonadota; Gammaproteobacteria; Oceanospirillales; Halomonadaceae
Description: partial 16S ribosomal RNA
Rfam family: Bacterial small subunit ribosomal RNA
Source: RNAcentral
CCUACGGGAGGCUGCAGUGGGGAAUAUUGGACAAUGGGCGAAAGCCUGAUCCAGCCAUGCCGCGUGUGUGAAGAAGGCCUUCGGGUUGUAAAGCACUUUCAGUGGGGAAGAAAGCGUUGGGGCUAAUACCCUCGAGGAAGGACAUCACCCACAGAAGAAGCACCGGCUAACUCCGUGCCAGCAGCCGCGGUAAUACGGAGGGUGCGAGCGUUAAUCGGAAUUACUGGGCGUAAAGCGCGCGUAGGCGGUUCUGAUAAGCCGGUUGUGAAAGCCCCGGGCUCAACCUGGGAACGGCAUCCGGAACGGUCGGGCGAGAGUGCAGGAGAGGAAGGUAGAAUUCCCGGUGUAGCGGUGAAAGGCGUAGAGAUCGGGAGGAAUACCAGUGGCGAAGGCGGCCUUCUGGCCUGAAACUGACGCUGAGGUCCGAAGGCGUGGGUAGCAAACAGGAUUAGAUACCUGGUAGUC